CAGUAGUAAUAAGGAUAUUGAUAAUCAUAAACUAGCUUUACCAGGAACUUGCAAAAUCCCAGCUCUCUUACCGAGAGUUCUACAUGGGUUAGUUCACGUAGUCUUUCCAACAACCUGUAGGUUCCGUGCUCCUGUCAUUCCUAAUUUGCAGACGAAGAUACCAAGACCCAACCCCAAGAGGCUGAGCACCUCGACUCAGGACCACAGCCACAGUGGAUUGCAGACUUGGCCCCGGGCAGCCUGACUUCUGUAAGUAGUAUUCUCUCCAUUUUUUACCCAGAGAUUUCUAGUUCAGGGUGACUCUGCCUGAGUGGUCAGCCCAACUGCCCAGCUUGUGAAAACUCUUGCAAAUAGGAGUCAGGGCUACGGUGAUAAUUUCCCCUAGUCUCUCUGUCCGGAGCACACUGUCACCAUCCUAGCCAGGUGCGUGGCCAAAGGAAAUGACUCUUCCCUGAUUCUGUGAAUUCCAAAGAAUUCCCAAGCGUGUUUCUCAGCAGGACUGCUUGCUUCCAAGGUGCUCCCAAAAGCCGGCUGCACCUGCUUCCUGGGUAACGCAUCUCCUGGAGCCCAGGUGGGCGUACCCGCUGUGAAGAUGGGGACUUGCUAAGAUGGGGCAUUAUGCCGUGGGGCACAUCUCUGUUGGGGCAUGCAUAGGACUUUCGGGACUGAUUUCUUAAAGCCAUUAACUUGGUGUAGCUACCUUUUCCUGGCUUGCAGGGCUCAUGCCUGCCCUGGACGUGUCUGGGUGGACAGCAUCGGCACCAUCCAGGAACUUGUUGCAGGUACCGAUUCUCAGGCUUUGCCCUAGGUUUGCUGAUUUGUCAACCCUGAGAUAGCGCUCAUUCUACAAACCUUCCAGGUGAUUCUGAUUCAUGCUAGUGUGGCAACGACUGGUCGAAACCCGAGUUUCUUUAUUAAAAUAGUACCCGCCAUCACAGCGGCAGUAGCGAUAGUUAUAAGGCUAAUAUCUGCCUUUUGGGUAUUGGGAGGAUUACGUGAGUCACUCAAGUCCUGGGCCCAGUGCCUGGCAUACAGUAGGCACUUAAUAAAUGGUGGCUGGCAUCAUUCAUCCUCUCUGGACUUGCCCGAGGUUGCUGUGCUGAAUUGCUGUAGUUUUUAUACGCUUUCAGGAUCAGCCCUUCUCUGGCCUGUGGGUCUGGUGGGACCACCAGGCUCAAUUUCCUCCUCCCACCCCCUCCACCAGGGGGGACCCAGGUGUGCACACUGCUCCUGGCCACGGCAUCGUCUUGAGGAUUGGCAGCUGCAGGAGAGAGCCUCAGAGAGGAUCUCUGGAGCAGGUUCUCCCCAGAGUCCCCAGCCCAGGGCUUCUCCACCUGGAGUCUGCUCCUGACUCACGGGGAGGUUUCUGUUGUCCCAGAGACACCUAACAGACAAAGUCAACCAAGAAGCACAACCUAAGCUCGUCCUUGGUGACCAAGUGGGCCGCUUUUUCAAUUCUCAGUCCGGGGUCUGGAUUUUAAGGGUGACAGCUUUCCCAGGGCUUGACGAGGACCCCUCCAGUCGAUGCAGUGUGUGCCGCUUCUCACCUGUCAGAGCUUGGCCAGGAGGCCACGGCCCCUUGCAUGGAUCGCUUCUACCUGCUGGCCCUGAUCUCUCUCGGGCUCCAGUGGACUUUGCUUGACCUGGACCAGCUGAUGAUGGUGCCGACGGUUGCCAGGGAGACCCAGAAGCCAAACAGGUGUGCAGGAGGCCAGCCCGGCCUGGAAGCCCAGGUGUCCUGCCCUACCUGCGGGCCCUGUGCAGUCGGUGAGUCCCCCCCACAAGCAGGGCUGACCUUCAGUGACAUUCGCCAGUGUCAAAGCACUUCCACGGCACGACAGGCAGCUCCUCCUUCUGCCACCUGUGUCCCCACCUCCUGGGGAUCCAGCAUUGAAAAGUGUGAGGGGUCUGGGGCUGCUCCGCUCCCGGUUACGCUCCUCCUCCGUGAUGACAGUUGUUGAACGUGGAAUGUCACUCUGCUGGGAGAGGCUGCCCAGGUUGGGAACAAGGGUGAGUGUGGUGGGGAGUGUCUGGGA
Non-coding RNA from Ictidomys tridecemlineatus (thirteen-lined ground squirrel), 2036 nucleotides. The record is from RefSeq and is a predicted model, not a curated record. Lineage: Eukaryota; Metazoa; Chordata; Mammalia; Rodentia; Sciuridae.